UGGGGAAUCUUGCGCAAUGGCCGAAAGGCUGACGCAGCGACGCCGCGUGUGGGAGGACGCCCUUCGGGGUGUAAACCACUGUUGCCCGGGACGAACAUCUGGUUUCGACCAGACUGACGGUACCGGGUGAGGAAGCACCGGCUAACUCCGUGCCAGCAGCCGCGGUAAUACGGAGGGUGCGAGCGUUGUCCGGAAUCACUGGGCGUAAAGGGCGCGUAGGCGGCGCGGAUAGUCGGCGGUGAAAGCCCGGAGCUCAACUCCGGGUCGGCCGUCGAUACUUCCGGGCUUGAGCACUGUAGAGGCAGAUGGAAUUCCGGGUGUAGCGGUGGAAUGCGUAGAGAUCCGGAAGAACACCGGUGGCGAAGGCGGUCUGCUGGGCAGUUGCUGACGCUGAUGCGCGACAGCGUGGGGAGCAAACA
Molecule: ribosomal RNA, 419 nt
Filed under: uncultured Gemmatimonas sp.
Lineage: Bacteria; Pseudomonadati; Gemmatimonadota; Gemmatimonadia; Gemmatimonadales; Gemmatimonadaceae
Description: bacterial SSU rRNA
Rfam family: Bacterial small subunit ribosomal RNA
Source: RNAcentral